GGAUGAACGCUGGCGGCGUGCCUAAUACAUGCAAGUCGAGCGAACGGACGAGAAGCUUGCUUCUCUGAUGUUAGCGGCGGACGGGUGAGUAACACGUGGAUAACCUACCUAUAAGACUGGGAUAACUUCGGGAAACCGGAGCUAAUACCGGAUAAUAUUUUGAACCGCAUGGUUCAAAAGUGAAAGACGGUCUUGCUGUCACUUAUAGCUGGAUCCGCGCUGCAUUAGCUAGUUGGUAAGGUAACGGCUUACCAAGGCAACGAUGCAUAGCCGACCUGAGAGGGUGGUCGGCCACACUGGAACUGAGACACGGUCCAGACUCCUACGGGGGGCAGCAGUAGGGAAUCUUCCGCAAUGGGCGAAAGCCUGACGGAGCAACGCCGCGUGAGUGAUGAAGGUCUUCGGAUCGUAAAACUCUGUUAUUAGGGAAGAACAUAUGUGUAAGUAACUGUGCACAUCUUGACGGUACCUAAUCAGAAAGCCACGGCUAACUACGUG
Molecule: ribosomal RNA, 498 nt
Filed under: uncultured bacterium
Lineage: Bacteria
Description: partial 16S ribosomal RNA
Rfam family: Bacterial small subunit ribosomal RNA
Source: RNAcentral